Molecule: ribosomal RNA, 587 nt
Filed under: uncultured haloarchaeon
Lineage: Archaea; Methanobacteriati; Methanobacteriota; Halobacteria; Halobacteriales; Halobacteriaceae
Description: bacterial SSU rRNA
Rfam family: Archaeal small subunit ribosomal RNA
Source: RNAcentral
GCAGGCGCGAAACCUUUACACUGCACGACAGUGCGAUAGGGGGAUCCCAAGUGCACAGGCAUAGCGCCUGUGCUUUUCGGUACCCUAAGGCGGUACCAGAAUAAGGGCUGGGCAAGACCGGUGCCAGCCGCCGCGGUAAUACCGGCAGCCCAAGUGAUGGCCGAUCUUAUUGGGCCUAAAGCGUCCGUAGCUGGCCGUACAAGUCCAUCGGGAAAUCCACCUGCUCAACAGGUGGGCGCCCGGUAGAAACUGUGCGGCUUGGGACCGGAAGGCGCGACGGGUACGUCCGGGGUAGGAGUGAAAUCCCGUAAUCCUGGACGGACCGCCGAUGGCGAAAGCACGUCGCGAGAACGGAUCCGACAGUGAGGGACGAAAGCCAGGGUCUCGAACCGGAUUAGAUACCCGGGUAGUCCUGGCCGUAAACAAUGUCUGCUAGGUGUGGCUCCCACUACGAGUGGGUGCUGUGCCGUAGGGAAGCCGCUAAGCAGACCGCCUGGGAAGUACGUCCGCAAGGAUGAAACUUAAAGGAAUUGGCGGGGGAGCACUACAACCGGAGGAGCCUGCGGUUUAAUUGGAGUCAACGCCGG